AGAAAAUAAUUGAGGCUCAUUUCCAGGACAGAGGGGCAAGCUGGGUCUAAAGAGCCAAGCAGAAAGGCUUCCCAAAAUCGCUAGGUUGGGAGGGGUCAGAGACGUGUGGCUGCCCCAGCUGUUCUGACUCUGCCCCAGCUUUUGGCUCCACCCCCUUAAAGCACCUUCAGAGGUUCCCAUGGCGACAGUAAACAAGUCUCCACUGCCUUGGCCAUGUGCUGUGUUCACCCCACUCCUGAUCUUGUUGGCUGCUCAGGGGCUGACAGCCCAGAUGUGCAGCUGUGAUGAGCAGAAACAGGGAGGAAUGGAGCCCCCAGGCAUUGUCAUCACUUCCUCAAGCUGUCUAAAUUCUGCCCAGCAGUCUGUGAAAAUGUUGUGCUGAUGACAUAUGUAAGGACUCUAACUCCCCUCAAACAAUCUGCUCACCUGAAAGGCUCACUCCUGUUGUAAUAAAUGACACAUAAGGUCACAAUUCAACCGGUACCUAAUGUAUCCUGUAUAUUUGAAAUAAAAGUUAGAGAUAUACAUACAGAGAUUUAAAAUCUAAAACUGUCCCCUCCCCAGUAAGUCAUGUAUCCGUUAAAAGAAUAUCUGGAAACCUCCAAAAGGAAGCCAAGCAUAGACUAUUUGGAAGAACUUGAAGGAGCGAGAGCUGACCCCAUCUUUGUACACUGGCAGCACAAGGAGAACAAUCAACACGGAAGACUUCUGUGACCAAAUGUGUGCACGUUUCUCUCCAUACACCAAGCAAGCAAUCUAUUCUGCAGCAGACACCAACUGGAAGUCCUCCAAUUCAAUUCAAUUCUGACACUGUCUACCUGGAAAUGGCCUCAGCAACCACAGGUUGAGAGCUCAGUCCCACAAGAACACCUCCUCCUUCCAACCAGUUGAAACUCCACACCUCCAGAACUUCUCACUGACUGGCUUCGAGUUGAGGUUUCCACAGUCCUCUGUUUGAGUUUGAUUAAUUUGCUAGAGAAGUUCACAGAACACAAGGAAACACUUACUUAUGUUGAUCAAUUUAUCACAAAGGAUGUUUUAAAGGAUCCAAAUGGGGGCCAGGCACAGUGGCUCAUGCCUGUAAUCCCAGCACUUUGGGAGGCUGAGGCAGGCGGAUCAUGAGGUCAGGAGAUCAAGACCACCCUGGCUAACACGGUGAAACCCCGUCUCU
This 1171-nucleotide long non-coding RNA is filed under the name Homo sapiens (human). RNAcentral describes it as "HSALNT0264585". The record is from RNAcentral. Lineage: Eukaryota; Metazoa; Chordata; Mammalia; Primates; Hominidae.